This 374-nucleotide unclassified non-coding RNA is filed under the name uncultured Pseudomonadota bacterium. Its description in RNAcentral is "uncultured proteobacterium contains 16S-23S intergenic spacer region". Lineage: Bacteria; Pseudomonadati; Pseudomonadota. The record is from RNAcentral.
UCCAACUUAUCGCUGGCGGUCUCCUGCGAGUUCCCAACUGAAUGAUGGCAACACAGGACAAGGGUUGCGCUCGUUGCGGGACUUAACCCAACAUCUCACGACACGAGCUGACGACAGCCAUGCAGCACCUAUGUAAAGACCCUUUCGAGAAAUAUCAUUUCUGAUAUCGUCCUCUACAUUUCGAGCCCAGGUAAGGUUCUUCGCGUUGCAUCGAAUUAAACCACAUGCUCCACCGCUUGUGCGGGCCCCCGUCAAUUUCUUUGAGUUUUAACCUUGCGGCCGUACUCCCCAGGCGGAGAGCUUAAUGCGUUAGCUGCGUCACCGACACGCAUGCGUGCCGACAACUAGCUCUCAUCGUUUACAGCGUGGACUAC